This 755-nucleotide long non-coding RNA is filed under the name Sarcophilus harrisii (Tasmanian devil). RNAcentral describes it as "lncRNA (ENSSHAG00000027147.1)". The record is from RNAcentral. Lineage: Eukaryota; Metazoa; Chordata; Mammalia; Dasyuromorphia; Dasyuridae.
AUCUGGAGAUAGAAAUUGAACUGAUAAAGUGUCAGACAAAAAUGAGGCUCAGAGAAAGAGAAAGGGCUUUAGGAACCAAUUAGCCCAACUUCUUUCCUUUUGAAAACAGGCCCAGAGAGAUUUGUGUAUCUAAUAAAUUUGGGUAUCUAAUAAAUUAGGUACACAAACAAGUAACAGAGGCAAGAUUUGAACUAAGUUUCUCUGACCCUUUAUCCAAGAGAACAGUUAGAAGAGAGGAUUUCAUGAGGAACCUAAGAUCCCUAAAGUUCUCCAGAACUUUAGCAUUAAUUCUGUGAAAACCAGCUUGUUGAGAGUUUGCUUUACUGGAAAAAGUGGAUGAAGAACAUUGAAGAAGAACUGAUGAAUUCCAGAAUUUCAUAUGAUUCCAUUGGCAAACAUAAAUUUAACUUUUCAGGUUCAUAAAUUCAUUUAAGAAGGACCUACACUGACCAGAAGGAGGUUUCCACAACUCUCUGCCCUGCGCCGAACCUCAUUGGUUAGAAGAAUACAAAAACUCAAGAGCCUCAGCCUCUACUGGAGAAAUGGAACACAGAGAGAUAGAUUUCAAUUACAAUCCCAAAUCAUUGUCCAUUUGCAGUGUCUGGCCAAGAUAUAGCUGCUGAUGGAUGAGCUCUGUAGAUUGUCAAACUAAAUUCACAUUACAAGGUAUUUUAAGCACAAAACCUCAGGGUUGGAAGCAGCAAAAAAGAAAAAGAUUUGAAGCAGGGCAGACAGGAAAUGCUCCUCACUUCUGA